RNAcentral lists this ribosomal RNA (256 nucleotides) under Alexandrium margalefii. RNAcentral's name for it is "partial Bacterial small subunit ribosomal RNA". It matches the Rfam family "Bacterial small subunit ribosomal RNA", at positions 396 to 669 of the family's 1533-position model. The record is from RNAcentral. Lineage: Eukaryota; Dinophyceae; Gonyaulacales; Pyrocystaceae.
GCCGCGUGAGUGAUCAAGGCCUUAGGGUUGUAAAGCUCUUUCAGUAGGGAAGAUAAUGACGGUACCUACAGAAGAAGCCCCGGCUAACUUCGUGCCAGCAGCCGCGGUAAUACGAAGGGGGCUAGCGUUGUUCGGAAUUACUGGGCGUAAAGCGCACGUAGGCGGACUAUUAAGUCAGGGGUGAAAUCCCGGGGCUCAACCCCGGAACUGCCUCUGAUACUGGUAGUCUUGAGUUCGAGAGAGGUGAGUGGAAUUC